UACAGAGGUCCCAAGCGUUGUUCGGAUUCAUUGGGCGUAAAGGGUGCGUAGGUGGCAUGGUAAGUCGGGUGUGAAAUCCCGGGGCUCAACCCCGGAACUGCACUCGAUACUGCGGUGCUCGAGGACUGGAGAGGAGACUGGAAUUUACGGUGUAGCAGUGAAAUGCGUAGAUAUCGUAAGGAAGACCAGUGGCGAAGGCGAGUCUCUGGACAGUUACCGACGCUGAGGCACGAAGGUCAGGGGAGCAAACGGG
Molecule: ribosomal RNA, 253 nt
Filed under: uncultured bacterium
Lineage: Bacteria
Description: partial 16S ribosomal RNA
Rfam family: Bacterial small subunit ribosomal RNA
Source: RNAcentral